Long non-coding RNA from Clupea harengus (Atlantic herring), 2368 nucleotides. The record is from Ensembl. NCBI's taxonomy places the organism in Eukaryota, Metazoa, Chordata, Actinopteri, Clupeiformes, Clupeidae.
GUGUGCGUGUGUGCGUGUGUGCGUGUGUGCGUGUGCGCGUGUGCGUGUGUGUGUCCGUGUCCACCCCUCCUAGCUGCAGGGUGUGUAUUUGUGUGUGUGUGUGUCUCCACCCCUCCGAGCUGGUGCCACUGGGCUUGUGAGUGCUAUCCUGCAGUACUGUAGCUGAGGUUUCCCUGCCGAACGCCUUUUUUGUUUUAAGUUUGAUUUUAUUUUCUGUUUGUUUGCAUUAGCUGAUUUCUUGACAGAGUAACCUGUUCACUAACAGCCUAAGUAUAAAAGCUCUAAAGCGUUUGCUUUGUCUCUUUUAAUUUCCCCUGUGCUACGCAAAGCCCACUUUAUUUAUUCCACCAUGUAUCAUAUAGUUAUCUUUUUUUUUUUUCUCCUAAACGCAAUGCAAUGUUUGUCAGCAUUUAAAUUUUUUUUCUUGUUGUUAUUAUUGUUAUGUAAACCAUUGCUGUGAUCUUUCUGUAUCAGUUUUUAGCUAUCUUCAGUGAAGGUUUUUUAUUUGUAUUUGUUUGUUUGUUUUUGUUUUUAACGGGGGCAUGUCUGAAAUAAUUGUUGCCACAUGUUCAUGAUUAAGCUACACUAUAAUGAGACUGACUGUGCAUAGCUCUAUUUUUAAGUAAGUUUAAAGAAGAAAAAAAAGUUGAAAAAAAAAAGAAUCACACAUGUCAACUUGAUUUUUUUUUUUAAAUAUGUUGACGGUGCAAGAUCCAUGCAGUGCUACACCUCAGGCCAGUGUCAAGCCUCCAUCUCAUUGGCUUAGACGUGUGUGUGUGUGUGUGUGUGUGUGUGUGUGUGUGUGUGUGUGUAGCUUCAACAACUGUGUAAAUCCAGUGAGCUGCCACCCUGCAGAACAAUGCCAACUGUAGUUUUCACUUGCGAAGAAAGAUUGAUUUAAUUUCAAGUCGUGUCGCCACCAUAAAGGGAAUGAGGUGGGGGAUAAAAAAAAAGCAGUCAUGUGCUCUCCCACAUCAAUGUGAAUUGUUUGGAGAUAAAAGCCGUGUUGUUGCGUGGUAGAUCGUGUCCGUGAAAUCAUUAGAGAAGGCUUUCGUGACCACCAAGCCCCCCCCCCAUUCAUUGGAUUAGCUGGUUACCCGCCACACUUGUCCCUGUCGCUUUUAAGAACGAGAGCGAGUACACCGUCAGCAUCGCAGCCGUCUCUCGUAGUCACAAUCUGUAGGUUUCACCGGGUAAAAACAUCAGUGGUGUUUGUAAGUGUGUUGCCUGUUCUUGUAGCCACGGAGACGAAAGACGUGUCCACGACAAAAUCACUGUCUGAGAUGAGCGGAAACGUGCUCUUUGCUUGUAGCUGGUUUUCAUGUGGUUGUCAGUGGGAGUCAGACUUGAGAACCGACUUGAUGCAUGAUCAGUGUAAAAUUAUGUGUGUGGCGCUACAGAUGUGCUUUUUUUUUGCAUGAUGGGUUUUUGAAAGAAGAUUUGCCACAAAACCAUGACAUUUGAACUUGAUCUUUUAAUGAGGCAAUAUUAUUAAAAUGAAGUAUGGGUCAAGUAGUUCAAAGCACUAUACGGAAAAAAAAGGCCACAAAAAAACCAUACUGUGAGGAAGUGAAGAUUUUUGUUUUACAUGUGGUAUAACCUAGUAUCUAAUUUGCAUAAUGCUGAAACUGGAAAUAGAUCUUGUCAUAGGUGGAAAUGUGGUGGAAAUUGGUCCUAAAUCUGCAAGUUUGGUGUUGUAAGCUGCUUGGUUGGUAUUCUAUCUAAAAGACAAACUGGGUAAUUGUACAGAGAUGAAAUCAAAUUUGUAUAAAAGACAAAUUAUUUAGAUAUUUUUGUACUUCAUCAGAUCUCUACAUGCAUGUCAGCAAUAAACUUUGAUAUGGAACCACUUUUGCCCGGUUUGUUUCAUUGCAAGGUGCUGUCUGAAGUCUCCGAACAGGAGUCGAUUGGUGGCAAAUGCAAACCCCAUUUUGUCCAACAGAGGGCGUCCUUUCCCAAAAAUGUCUCCUUCCCAGAGAGCAGUUGACUCUACAGAUCUGGCCUUGAUGUGGCUUGCAUGCGGCCCAGAUCAGUCUCAAAGAGCUGGAGAGCGAGAGCGGUCCACCUUCUAGAAUGGAACUGCCUUGUAGCUGUGUGCGGAGGGGAAAAGACUCAUGAAGGAAAACCCUUUCAACAGAACUGGCACUUUAAAGGUGCUCAUAGGCCAACCAUCUCCAUCAAGACUGGUUAUGGUGGUAAGUUAUUCAGCUCAAGACUGGUUGUUUGAAAGUGCUCACAGACCAACCAUCUACACCAAGACUGGUUAUGUUGGUAAGUUAGUCUGCACAUGAAUCACAUGAGCUUAAAGUCAACUGGAGAGAUCUGUAUGUGAUCACUGCAGACUCUUAAGCUUACUUGUGUGUGUGUG